UAGUCUGCAACCCGGCUACAUGAAGCUGGAAUCGCUAGUAAUCGCAGAUCAGAAUGCUGCGGUGAAUACGUUCCCGGGUCUUGUACACACCGCCCGUCACACCAUGGGAGUCGGAAAUGCCCGAAGUCGGUGACCCAACCGUUACGGAGGGAGCUGCCGAAGGCAGGUCUGGUGACUGGGGUGAAGUCGUAACAAGGUACC
This 201-nucleotide ribosomal RNA is filed under the name uncultured bacterium. Its description in RNAcentral is "partial 16S ribosomal RNA". It matches the Rfam family "Bacterial small subunit ribosomal RNA", at positions 1301 to 1500 of the family's 1533-position model. The record is from RNAcentral.